Molecule: long non-coding RNA, 657 nt
Organism: Acipenser ruthenus (sterlet)
Lineage: Eukaryota; Metazoa; Chordata; Actinopteri; Acipenseriformes; Acipenseridae
Exons: 5
Source: RefSeq, a predicted model, not a curated record
CGUGCGGCUGGGCCAACAGGGAGACGGCCAUCUUUGCAGCCUGGAGGAAGGGCUACCGUCAGCCAUGGAUUCCCUAAGGUUUCCUCCUACCAGAAUGCAGGGGACCUCUACUUUGAACUGCAAACUGGUGCAGGAGUGUCUGAAAAAACGUGGUCAGAUGUGAUUCCAGCUCCACCGUCUGUGAGACCUAGUGAUCUCAGAGAGCUUCAUCAUCAGUUAGCCUGACAGGUCUGGUGAGGAGGAGAGCCAUUGGCAGGGGAAGCCCUCAAGACAGGAAAAAAACCAAAAAAAUAACUUAACAGGGCACUUCAGCAAAAAGGCUUCUGAUAAGUCUUCCAGUGACAGAUGCAGAUGAGCAGGUUGAUGCCAGUGGAAGAGAAGUGCAAGAAGUUAAAAACCUUAAAAUUGAGAAUAAAAGACUGAAGGAUGGACCUCCCUGAUAGUAAAUUCCUUCAAAGACUUACUUGGACAAAACCUAAGGCCCAUGCCCAAUGAUGUCUCACAUUGUUGGUCUUCAGAUUCCUGUAUAUUAGAUUCUGCUCAAAAGCCUUCACAAUCUCAUGUCGUCUUCAACUGUUUCUACUGACCGACCGUGAACUUGAAGACUAAAGAAAUAGCAAGAUUGUAGAAACAAGCCAACUGUGAACAAUGAUAAGU